AGCGCUCCCCCUGCACCUCACCGCCUCCCAGCAGGAUCUGGGGCUCUCCUUCUGCACCGGAACCGCUUCCCAGAGAGAUUCACUUAGAGAAGAGGGGCCCAAAGCUGGAGAUAUCGAGGGAACUAACUCCCAAUCCCACUCCUUACCUGUUUUUUCAGUCCUCUUUUGUCUUCAUUCAAAUCGGCUCGCCUUCUCGGAGCAAACCAGUUCGAAGAGAAGAUUCGACUUGUGAUAAGAGCCCGGUUUGGGGAGCUACUUGGUACCUCCUCACCCCACCAUGGAAAGUGCCUAGAGCAUCCUUUCCUGGUUCCAGCUGACCUUCUGGAGCUUUGGGACCUGCUUCUAGCCACCUGGGGCCAAGAGAUGAAAAAUCUGGUGUUUUAGAAUGAGACCCUGAGAUGCCUCCUAGUCACCCCCCACCCUGUGACAAUAGCAAGUGAAGUAUAUAUUUUUAAAGCUCUGCUUUCAUGGCUCUAAUUUUCUAUGCUCUGUGGCAAGUAAAUCCCUCUCUACUUUGACUCUUCUCUUAAAGUGAAUGGGGAAAUAGCUGGGGUGGAGGGUAGAGGUGGUAGAGGUGCUUUUCCCCAGCUCUGUGUCUUACCCCACAUGGGAUGUGGAUCCAGCCAGCUGAGUUUGUCCUUACAUCCAUUCUCCUAGAUUUUCCUGCUUUGUGUUGCUUUCCUGAGGAGGUGACAGAGCAUCAGAUUCGAGAUGGAUGUGUCCAAGAUUUCAGGGGGAAACUGGACCCUUAAGUGGGCAUACAUGGCAUCUGGAGCACUUUGCAAUUAAACAGAGGUCCCUAAGGUUUUUUUGAGCCCCCACUGCAGCGCCUAUGAUCCAUAUCUGGUCCUUGCUUCCUUCUGCAGGUAAGACCAAAGGCCCCAAAAGAUACCCUAAGAGGAUCCUGGACUUUCCAGCUCCCAUCUUUAAGGGGAACCACAUUGCAUCCCCCUCUCAGCAGCAGAAAACCAAGGAGUGGAAGAGUGGGAUGCUGUGUGAGCAGCAAAAAUGAGCGUGGUGAUGCAGUGGAAUCCUCUAACCACUCCCAGUAUCAAUGACUAGACUAUCCCAGGCCACCAUGUCCAUGACACUUACAGGCGUGAUGAGGAGGACAAGCCUGAGUAGGCAUGGACAGUGAGGAAGAUGGGAGCCAGUGCCUUGAGAUUCUGUGCUUUUACUGGCUAGCAAAUAUUGGACAUGAGAACGUAGAAAAAUAUACACCACUCUCUGCUUAUCACAUUUCGGUCCUUUAGAGGAGGGCACCUGAGGUAUCGUCAUGGUUGACAGAUGAUGUUAAGGAGGACGCAGGAGGGAACAUCACACAUUUGCACAGGGAUCUUUGCAAUAAGGGAACAUCUUUAUAAUUAGGGAAAAUUCCCCAAAUCCUUUGCAGACCCCUUUUCUCUUUUUGUGCUCUGAAGUUCACCUUAUGACACAGAGACCCUUAAAACACAUCUUCACCUGAAAGAAUAUCUGCCACCUCAAUGCCUCUUUUCCAGGUUUUUAGCCCAGAACACCCCAAAAAACCCAGAGAGGAACAUUCUGAGAAAAGGUAGAGAGUUUCCUGGCCCGGGAGGAGGUAAUCAGUGCCCCAGACUCUCAAUAAAUGGAGCAACCUUAAUCCCUGCAAUGGCUAUUCCAUCACCUUUGGCCAUUCCACUGCCUUGGCCACACUGGCUGUUUCAUCCUUGAACUAACACUUUCAUGCCUUCAGAUGGAUGGAGUCUGAGCUGCCAAUUCUUUGGGCCAAAACCUGCGUUUGCUCUUCCACAACAAAUUCACUUUUACUCUCCCACAACACCAUCAUCCUCCAUGUGAGGGAACUGAGGGAACUGGAGUAGAAAGUAGUAGUGGAACUCCAGCGAACUGCACUGAUUCUACCUCAUGACUCACUUCUAGAGCACGCUCAUUUCCCUUUCUAUUUCCUUACAGGAUUAUUCCAGUUUCUGUCUUGUGAGAAGAUUUCCUUUAGUUGUGGGAAUUGGGGGAAAAACCCUUAUUGUAUUCUUUGAAUCUAGUGCUGAGUGUGUGAGAAGCUGGACCACCUCUACCUGUUGUUUGGACAUCCUUAACUAAGGACCUAAAUUCAGCCAGAGCCAAAGACGGGGGCAAGGAAGUUUCUCACAAUUAGGCAUCUUAAGCAAUGCAUAUGUCUAUAAGCAGGUUCCAUACUGAUUAAUUAAAAAUAAUAUUUUAAUUAAUUAUUUUUAA
Monodelphis domestica (gray short-tailed opossum) is the source of this 2211-nucleotide non-coding RNA. The record is from RefSeq and is a predicted model, not a curated record. NCBI's taxonomy places the organism in Eukaryota, Metazoa, Chordata, Mammalia, Didelphimorphia, Didelphidae.